AUCUAAGUACCCCGAGGAAAAGAAAUCAACCGAGAUUCCGAAAGUAGCGGCGAGCGAAAUUGGACUAGCCCUUAAGCUUUACACGCGUUAGACGAACGGUCUGGAAAGUCCGACGAUACAGGGUGAUAGUCCCGUAGUUGACGACGUGUGUUCAGUGAAAUCGAGUAGGGCGGGACACGUGAUAUCCUGUCUGAAUAUGGGGGGACCAUCCUCCAAGGCUAAAUACUACUGACUGACCGAUAGUGAACCAGUACCGUGAGGGAAAGGCGAAAAGAACCCCUGUGAGGGGAGUGAAAUAGAACCUGAAACCGUGUACGUACAAGCAGUAGGAGCAGGCUUUGUCCUGUGACUGCGUACCUUUUGUAUAAUGGGUCAGCGACUUAUAUUCAGUGGCAAGGUUAACCAUCUAGGGGAGCCGUAGGGAAACCGAGUCUUAACUGGGCGUUCAGUCUCUGGAUAUAGACCCGAAACCAGGUGAUCUAGCCAUGGGCAGGUUGAAGGUUGAGUAACAUCAACUGGAGGACCGAACCGACUAAUGUUGAAAAAUUAGCGGAUGACUUGUGGCUAGGGGUGAAAGGCCAAUCAAACCUGGAGAUAGCUGGUUCUCCCCGAAAGCUAUUUAGGUAGCGCCUCGGACGAAUACUACUGGGGGUAGAGCACUGUUAAGGCUAGGGGGUCAUCCCGACUUACCAACCCUUUGCAAACUCCGAAUACCAGUAAGUACUAUCCGGGAGACACACGGCGGGUGCUAACGUCCGUCGUGGAGAGGGAAACAACCCAGACCGCCAGCUAAGGUCCCAAAUUACUACUAAGUGGGAAACGAUGUGGGAAGGCUCAGACAGCCAGGAUGUUGGCUUAGAAGCAGCCAUCAUUUAAAGAAAGCGUAAUAGCUCACUGGUCGAGUCGGCCUGCGCGGAAGAUGUAACGGGGCUAAGUAGUAAACCGAAGCUGCGGCAAUAUACUUUUGUAUAUUGGGUAGGGGAGCGUUCUGUAAGCGGUUGAAGGUGUGUGGUAACGCAUGCUGGACGUAUCAGAAGUGCGAAUGCUGACAUGAGUAACGAUAAAGGGGGUGAAAAACCUCCUCGCCGGAAGACCAAGGGUUCCUGUCCAACGUUAAUCGGGGCAGGGUAAGUCGACCCCUAAGGCGAGGCCGAAAGGCGUAGUCGAUGGGAAACGGGUUAAUAUUCCCGUACUUCUUACAAUUGCGAUGGGGGGACGGAGAAGGCUAGGUGGGCCUGGCGACGGUUGUCCAGGUUCAAGUGCGUAGGCUUAAGA
Molecule: ribosomal RNA, 1275 nt
Filed under: Vibrio parahaemolyticus
Lineage: Bacteria; Pseudomonadati; Pseudomonadota; Gammaproteobacteria; Vibrionales; Vibrionaceae
Description: partial 23S ribosomal RNA
Rfam family: Bacterial large subunit ribosomal RNA
Source: RNAcentral